CAAAAGGUUCUGUUAAGAACCACAUAUCAAUAUAGCAUAGAAAAUA
Molecule: non-coding RNA, 46 nt
Organism: Picea glauca (white spruce)
Lineage: Eukaryota; Viridiplantae; Streptophyta; Pinopsida; Pinales; Pinaceae
Source: Rfam